RNAcentral lists this ribosomal RNA (185 nucleotides) under Cydia pomonella (codling moth). RNAcentral's name for it is "partial 12S ribosomal RNA". The record is from RNAcentral. Lineage: Eukaryota; Metazoa; Arthropoda; Insecta; Lepidoptera; Tortricidae.
AAUAUUUAAAUUAAUUUAUUUAAUUAUUUAUUAAUAUCUAAUAAAAUUUAAUUUAAUUUUUGUAUAACCGCAACUGCUGGCACAAAAUUUGUUAUUAAUUUAUAUAUUACUAAAUCUUAAUUUCUUAAAUUUUUAAUAUUAAUUACUAUUUUCAUAAAUUAAAUAUUAUUAAAAUAAUUAAAAUU